UCAUUAUACCAACAUUAUUUAUUUAUCAAACAACAUAUACUUUAACUUUACGCAAAAUCCAAGCAGAUUUUAGUUUUAUAAUAUUUACAUGACAUCCCAAAGACAGAAACGAAAACAUAAUUUGGGCUUGACCAUGCAAAACAACAAAUAACUUUCCUGAAAAUGCUUUGCAUGACACUUAAAAAAAAACUGCUAUUCAGUGAAACACAUUUUACAUUUUGUUGUCCGGCAUUUAUUGAAACAGUUGAAGUUGGGAAAAGCUACAGUAGGAAGAAACCACAACAUCCGAGAGGAUGAAGACCUCUGACCUCUGACAGGUAAGACCUGGUUCUGGUAUUCACAGUAGGAGAGCUGAUCUAGGAUCAGGUCCCCCAGGUCAUUAUGAUCUAGGAUCAGGUCCCCCAGGUCCAUGUAAUGUUAUUCAUUAUGAUCACCACUCCUACUCUCACUCUUUAUGACCUGAUCCUAGAUCAAUACUCCUACUGAAUCUCUUUAUGACCUGAUCCUAGAUCAACACUCCUACUGGGACUCUUUAGGACCUGAUCCCAGAUCAACACUCUCAGACUCUAUAUGACCUGAUCCUAGAUCACCACUCCUACUGAGACUAUGACCUGAUCCUAGAUCACCACUCCUACUGAGACUCUUUAGGACCUGAUCCCAGAUGACCACUCCUACUGAGACUCUUUAGGACCUGAUCCUAGAUGACCACUCCUACUGAGACUCUUUAAGACCUGAUCCCAGAUGACCACUCCUACUGAGACUCUUUAGGACCUGAUCCCAGAUGACCACUCCUACUGAGACUCUUUAGGACCUGAUCCUAGAUCACCACUCCUACUGGGACUCUUUAGGACCUGAUCCCAGAUGACCACUCCUACUGAGAGUCUUUAUGAAUAUGGGCCCAGACUUCUGAUACAGCACAGACCUCUAACAGGCUGUCUCAGGUCGGUUGGUGAAGGCCACCAGGUCUUUCGUCUCAGACUCCUUGGUGUGGUUCUUGUCAGUCUGACACUCGUGACAGAAACAUCCGGUAAACAUCAACAAAGUAGAGUUGUUUACCACAUUCCUGUCCCCCCCUCUCUCCUCGGUCUCCCACAGAGGGAAGGAGGACAGUGUGGAGACAGAUGUGAUUCUUUGUGUCCUUCUGCAUGCCGUGUCCCAGUAUCUCCUCUGCCUCUUUCUCUCCUUUCCUCCAUUCCCCAAACUCUUUCUAUUUCUUCUUCUCCCCAACCACCAGAGUUCCUCCUCCUCCUCUUCCCAGCCACCAGAGUUCCUCCUCCUCCUCUUCUCCCCAACCACCAGAGUUCCUCCUCCUCCUCCUCUCCCCAGCCACCAGAGUUCCUCCUCCUCCUCUUCUCCCCAGCCACCAGAGUUCCUCCUCUCCCUCCUCCUCUCCCCAGCCACCAAAGUUCCUCCUCCUCCUCUUCCUCCUCUCCCCAGCAACCAGAGAUCCUCCUCCUCCUCUUCUCCCCAGCCACCAGAGUUCCUCCUCUCCCUCCUCCUCUCCCCAGCCACCAGAGUUCCUCCUCUCCCUCCUCCUCUCCCCAGCAACCAGAGUUCCUCCUCUCCCUCCUCCUUUCCCCAGCCACCAGAGAUCCUCCUCUCCCUCCUCCUCUCCCCAGCCACCAGAGUUCCUCCUCUCCCUCCUCCCCCCUCCCCAGCCACCAAAGUUCCUCCUCUCCCUCCUCCUCUCCCCAGCCACCAGAGUUCCUCCUCCUCCUCUUCUCCCCAGCCACCACUUCCUCCUCUCCCUCCUCCUCUCCCCAGCCACCAGAGUUCCUCCUCCUCCUCUUCUCCCCAGCCACCAAAGUUCCUCCUCCUCCUCCUCUCCCCAGCCACCAGAGUUCCUCCUCCUCCUCCUUUCCCCAGCCACCAGAGUACCUCCUCUCCCUCCUCCUCUCCCCAGCCAUCAAAGUUCCUCCUCCUC
Oncorhynchus tshawytscha (Chinook salmon) is the source of this 1924-nucleotide long non-coding RNA. The record is from Ensembl. NCBI's taxonomy places the organism in Eukaryota, Metazoa, Chordata, Actinopteri, Salmoniformes, Salmonidae.